AGUCCCCGGUGUGUGAUGUUCCCCUAGCGGAAGAAAUUUCUAAGCAACAAAGCAUUCAAGAGGAAGUCUGGCUGAUUCUAAACACCUACGGCAAGAUACAGGAACAAAGGAAUUACUUAAAUUUGGAAUUUAUCAUUAACGAGAAUACACACAGAAGUUUGGAAAAUAAGAGUUUGGAAAAUUUGCAGCCUAGCCAUGUGGUAGAGAAGAAAAAAAAAACAUUUUCAGGAGAGGAAUUCAAGCAAGCUAUAGAGCAAUCACUUGCUGGAGAGAUUUGUGUAACUAAAUGGAGCCAAGUGCAAAUACCCAAGACCGUCGAAAAAGGCCUCAAAGGUAUUUCAGAAACCUCCUAAAAAGCUCCUCCUGUUGAAAUGAGAGUGUUCUCUUCUCCCCCUCGCAGGGGUGUGGCUGGCUUUUUCAGUGCUCCCCUGCUCAAACCCAUAGAGGGGAGCAUGCAGACAGGCAGGUCAUGGGGAGUGUUUGGGGGCUCUGACCCCACUGCAGUAUCUAGGGUUGUUUACAGCUCCCAAAACCCCAGUGGGCUUGUGUUACAGUGUGCUCUUUUCAGCUUAGCUGUCUGCAGGCAGCUUGUGUUAAUCAGCUCAACUAGACCCUCUACCUUAUCACAAGGGCAGAGGGCUUUCUGUAUCCCAGGUUCUUGCCCUAGUGUAUCAGAAAAAUCGGAUCACAUGUGGGCUUGGAGGAUGGGUGCAAGGUUUUAUAGAGUGGUGGAGGUAGCUCUCAGUGAAAUGGAUGGGGAGCCAGAAGGGGGAUGGAAUGGGAAGGUGGUCUUCCCCUGGAGUCCGGCCACCCAGCAGCUGGACUCUCCUCUGACCACCCUCGGCUGAAUUCCACAUCUUCCCACCAUUGAUGGCUUGCUGGUGUCUGUCCAUGUGUUCUGCUCCUCUUGAUGUCCAGCCACUUGUGUGUGUGCCCGCUACAGUCUUGGGAUUUUCUGGGCACAGGAUGGGGGUGUGGUGGGCCAUAGUGGUCUUGGAAAAUACAACAUUUGUGAAUGAAAACAGGAGUGCCUGUUCUCACUUUGGUCCAUGGACGCAGGCCCAAGGGUGGAGCCCUCACCAGGAACCCUGACCUUCUCUACCCAGCACUUCCUUGUCCUGCUCCCAUAACACCAUCACAGGCCUACAGGCCUAGGGGGAAAGAAUAAUUUGGGGGCCAGGCCCAGGUCACUCCUGCCUGCUCAGCAUCAGGACACUGCUCCCUGCAUCUCAGCUGCACCAGCUCCAGCUGUGGCUCAGAGGGUCCCAGGUGAAGCUCAGGAUGCCACUUUGGAGAAUGCAACCCAUAAGCCUUGGCAGUUUCUACAUGGUGUUAAGCCUGUAGGCACACAGAACACAAAAGCAAAGGAGUCUUGGCAGCUUUCUCCUAGAUUUCAGAGGAUGUAUUGGAAUGCCUGGGUGCCCAGGCAGAGGCCUGAUGCAGGGGCAGAGCCCCCACAGAGCACCUCCACUAGGACAAUAAUGAGGGGAAAUGUGGGGUUAGAGUUCCCACACAGAGUUCCCACCAGGGCACUCUCUGGCAGAGUUAUGGGAAGGGAGCCGCCACCCUCCAGACCUGAGAAUGGUAGAGCCACUGGAAGCUUGAACACUAACCCUGGAAAAGCCACAGGCACCCAACUCCGACCCGUGAAAGCCACCAUGGGGACUUCACCAUGCAAAGCCACAGAGGCAGAGCUACCCAAGGUCUAGGGAGCCCACUCCUCACACCAGUGUGUCCAGGAUGCAAGGCAUGGAGCCAAGGAUUAUUUUGGAGCUUUAGGGUUUAACGUCUACCCUGCUGGGUUUUGGACUCCUGUGGGGCCUAUUGUCCUUUUAUUGUGGCCUAUGUCUCCAUUUUGGAAUGGGAAUAUCUACCCAAUGCCUGUACCACCAUUGUGUCUUGGGAGUAAACAACUUGUUUGAUUUUACAGACUCAUAGGUGGAAGAAACACGGCCUUGAGUCUUAGAUGAGACUUUGGACUUUAGAGUUUGAGUUACUGCUAGAACAAGGCCCGGUUCAUCUCCUUCUGAAUGGCUGGCUCAAGUCUAUGAUGGGAGGUGACACUAUUGCAUGUGUCAAAGAGUCUCAGUCUUUACUGAGCAGCUGAUCAGUUCAUUUGUCAAUGACUUUAUAUUAAGAAGAGAGAAAAAAAUUCAACUACAACACAAGACUCUGACUUCAAAAGGCCCAGGGCUGAUUGUUGGGGUUCAGCUGGUCAGAAAGUGGAAUCCGAGAAUGUACCUAAAAGGCUGAGAGUCACAGAUGUGUGGCCAAAACACUGAAGAAUACCUCAGGUAAUUAUUAAAUUCAUAUUGUUAUUGGACUUAUUUCAUCGAGUCAUCACAAAAGAGAAGUAUGAAUGAAUACGUAAGUAAAAGAAUGCAAAAACAGCACUAAAAGUAAUUAGUGAUAUAUGUUGAUUACAUUAUACACACUAGGCUGUUCUAAGUGGUUCUUGAUACAUAUAUUAACUCAUCUAAUUCCUGCAGCAGCUCUGUUAAUUUGGUACCCGUUCUUAUACUGCUUUGUAGAUGAGGAAUCUAUGCCUGGAGACAGCGAGCAAGGUGCAGAGCUGGGAGGCACAUCCACCUUUCUCUCUUUAGAGUCCUUUCUCAAUGACAUCUAUACUGCCUCAAACCACAAACAUUUUUUGAGCACUUAUAUGUUUUUAUGUAAUUAAGAGCACAAGCUCUGGAAUCAAAGUGCAAUGAAUGAAAUCUGAAGGUGUUUUAUUUGUCUGUUUUCCUGAAUGUCCUGUUCUCAAACCUCGGGCAAGUUAUAAAGUUCUCUGAUCUUCACUAUCCUUGCUUGGUAUAUGUGGGUACCAAGGAUAGCAUCUAUCACUGAUGGUUGUGGUGAAAAUUAAAUACCGAAAUAUAUGUAAAGUGCUGACCACCAUGGCACCUAGCAAGCACUCCAUAAGUGCUGUCAAGAUUACUCAAGAAAAUAAGAGCUCUUAUAGUAUCUCAUUUAAUGCUGACAAGGAAGCCCCUUUGAGAAUAGUCUUACUAAUUCAGGCUUAAGACAACUAAAAGCCAAGGCUCUUACAGAUGGUAUAAUUUGCCUGAUAUUUGGAGAUUCCGAGUGGCAUUGCCUAGGACCAAUCCAGGUCCCUCCAGUUCCUAACACAUUUUCCUGUCUGUCUCUUAAUAUCUUAGAAAACAGCUAGCUACCAUGGACUAAGGGUCAGAACUUUAAAGACAGCUUAAAAUUUAGGAGCAUGUAAAUGAUCCCAUUUUCAGAGGAAAAGGUAAUGUCUGCUCAGUUUCUCCACUAUAAGUUUUUCUCUCUCUCUUUUUUUUUUAAAGUUAAUACACAUUUGGGGGACGAUAUUUUGGAAAAAAUGUGUGAUUUGCGAGUGGAGGCCACUCCUUAAAGGUGGCUUACGUAUGGUGACUUCCUUUCAACCAGUAUAGUGUAAAGAAAGGAAAAAAGGAGUUAUCUGAGAGUGGAGAAACCUGAUCAAAACUAUCUCAGACAGAUGAUCAAGGUCAACAUCAACAGUGAUGACGUAUUGAUAGUGUGCACCCUUGAUUUGAUGGGAAUCACACUUUACCUCUGUGGUCUUCCUCCCAAAAGCACAUAAACUCAAUCUAAUCAUGAGAAAAAAAAAUUGACAAAUCCCAACUGAAGGACAUUCUACAAAACACCCAACCUGUACUCCUCGAAAUUGUCAGGGUCACCAAAACAGAAGGAAAAUCUGAGAAGCUCUUACAUCUGAAGUACACCUAAAAUGUGAUAAAUAAAAAUAAUCUGGUAUACCUGGAACAUAAAAAGUUAUACCUUUUUGUGAUAGACAGCAAGUAAGGAAGUCAUGUAAUAUCCAUAAAAAUGAAUGUUAGUCAAUAAAAAAGUAUCUAUGUUGGUUUAAUAUUUAUAUCAAAGCAACAAAAAUGUUAUUAAGGGACCUGGACCAGGGAGUGUAUAGCAACCCUCUGUACAAACUUUAUAAGUUUUCUAUAAAUUUAAAACUGUUCUAGAAUAAAAAGUUUAUUUUAAAAACAAAAAGUGAAAUGAAACAAAAAUUGGGCAGGACAGCUUGUAGUUCUUGAUUAGAUCUACAAUGCAAGCUUCCAAGCCACACAGGCCAAGCCCCUCCUUGGUAUAAACCUGAGAUAGAACCUAAGUGCUAUAAUACAGUGCCCUUUGAAUUGAUCUAUCUACUUUGGCCUUUGGCCUCCUAUUGUACACUGAAGCAUCGCAGACUAAAUUGUUUCCAAAAUAUCAGCUUUCCCAGCGGCCAGAUGAGGAGCUAAUACUCUGCCUCAGUAUCAGGACUCUGUUACCAAGAAAAUCAGUAAAUGGUGCAGUCUUGGCUCACUACAACUUCCAUCUCCCACGUUCAAGCGAUUAUCCUGCUUCAGCCUCCCAAGUAGCUGGGAUUACAGGCACCCGCCACCACAGAAGGCUAAUUUUUGUAUUUUUAGUAGAGAUAGGGUUUCACCAUAUUAGCCAGGCUGGUCUCGAACCCCUGACCGCAAAGUGCUGGGAUUACAGGUGUGAGCCACUGUGCCUGGCCCCAGAGAGGCACUUUCUACUUGCACCCUGAAUCUAGAACUUGCAAACCUAUCUGUGGAAAGAGCAGAGUCAGCAGAAAAAAAAAAAACUUGAAUUUUCUACACAAGGUCCUACCUCUAAUCCCCAUGGGCCAGGAGGAGGGCCUGCCUGGGAGGGUGCAUGAGACUUGCAGAGUGGAAGGAGGGAGUGGAAUAAACUCAGGAAUGGGGAUCACCAUCUCUGCCUGGACACAGGAAGAAGAUGAAGUAUGGACCUGGUGCUCCUAUCAAGGUGCUGGCAAAUGAGAUAUGCUGGAUGCCAGGCUGUCUGUGGCUGGCUAAGCUGCUCCCCAUCUUUUGAGGCACAGCCAGUACACAGGUGGUGAGCGGGGCCCAGCAUGCCCUGACCUUCUCCUGUUAGGAGGUGAUCAGCAGCCCUCCGUCCUCACUGUGCCACGUGGAAGCCUGGGGAAAGGAGACACAUUUUGCCAACACAUUUGAUACAUGCAGAUACUGAGUCCUAGAGAUAUGAAGAUAUUUGCCCCGAAUUACAAAACAAGCUAGAAAAUAAGAAUUGUUUGGUUACCUUUCAUUUUCUGUGAUGUACUAUCCUCAUAAAACAAAAUUCAUUUUAUAUUUACCAUAAUGCAAAUUACCAUAGUUGACUUAAAUUUAUAAUUUUUAUUUUAAAUGAAAAUAUAAGUGUUUAUGACACAUCUUUUCUAAGAGUAAUGGAAAAAGUCAAGGUAGAGGAAAGCAUGAAAAAAAAAAAAAAGUAAGAUUAUUCAGGCUACCUGGAAUGAACUUGAUUGAGAUUUGACUGGAUUUGUAAUAUAAGUAGUGCUAUUUGAGACAAUGAAGAAGGACAGGGUCUUGGGGAAAAAUAGUCAAAGAAACCUAAAUUACAUAUCUCCUUUUUAAUAUAGCAGCAGUAGCAAUUUAUUCCUCACGUGCGUACUUUAACUUGUUAUUACCUGAAUAAAUAAUUAAGAAACCAAGGGCAGGUCUUUUUGCAGAAAGCACGGCUUGUGCAGAGGGAAAAAAAAGCAUGUUGACCACAAUGGAAAUAAAUAUAAUAUAUGGGGGAGAAAGAAGCUCAGAAAAAGCAAACACCAAAAGAAGACAUUUUGGGGAGAGACACAUAUCCCUUUAAUAGAAACCAGAGAAAGUGAAAUUGCAGGAAAUAGAGAGGAUAUGAAGUAGAAAUGUCUCCAAAUAGAAAGAAAAAUGAAUGGAAAAUAAAGUUCAGGUGAAGAGAAUAUCAGAUUAUAAGAACUGGCCAUCUGGACAAAAAGUUUCCUGGGAAAAGAUAAUAGAGAAGUACAAGCUGGGGGUGUCUAGGAAAUCCUGUCACAGAGCCAAAAAAGUGAAGGAGGGAAAGGGUAGAGACCUCCAUUUUCCCUAGGAGCUCCCAACAUGAGCUCAUGAUCUCAAAGUCUUUACUACUUGCUGUCUUGUCACAAUUAUCCAAGUCUUUGGCUUGCUUUCCUCCAUCCCUUCAAUAUUUUAUUACCUGGGUCAUUGUCUCAUUCUUUUUUAUUGUUCUUACUAUAAAUUUGGAUGACUUUGAAUUCCACGUAGACAAUCUUUCCAACAUUUGCCCCCAUAGUUCUUUAAUGGCUUCUCUGUUUCAUUGGUCCUUCAACCUUGCUUUAGUCCAGGAAACCAUCAUUCCUGCCAGGUGUUAUUGAAAUAGCAUCCUACUUCUUUUCCCUGAUUUCCCCCUUAGUUCCCAAUAGUCAAUUCUCAACAAUGCACCCAGAGUUAUUAUUUCAAAAUAAGAAGACUGUGUCACUCCUCGCUCAUAACCUUCUAGUAGCUUCCCAGCUUAUUCAGCAUAAAAGUCAUCACAAUGACCUUUCAUAGCUUUAUGAUUGCAUCUCCUUCCACUCUUGAAAUUGAGCACAAUUUCCCACCCAUUGUCUCUUUAUACUGUUCUACAAACACACAGCCUGCACUCAAUCAAAGGUGGCUCCUUUCUCACCUCUUUGCAUGAACAAAGGUUCAUUGUCUUAUCAACUCAAUAACAGGUGUCAUUGAAAUAGCAUAUUUCUUCUUUUCUUUGACUUACACACACACACCAACUCUUAGAACCCACCCCCCCUUCUUUAUUUAUUUUGUCCUAGCACUUAUACAAUCUAACGUAUUAUGUUUUUACUUACGUGUUUUAUUUGUCUCCCACUAGGAAAAUUUAAAUUAUAUGAAGGUAGAUAUAUGCUUAUUUUCUAACUGUAUAUUAUCUAAAACAUGUCUGGCAUAUAGUCAGAACUUAUUAAAUGUAUUUUUAUGCCAGGCGCGGUGGCUCACACCUGUAAUCCUAGUUCUUUGGGAAGCUGAGGCCAGCAGAUCACGAGGUCAGGAGUUCGAGACCAGCCUGGCCAACAUGGUGAAGCCCCAUCUCUACUAAAAAUACAAAAAAUUAACUGGGCAUGGUGGCAGGUAUCUGUAAUCCCGGCUACUUGGGAGGCUGAGGCAGAAUUGCUUGAACCCAGGAGGCAGAGGUUGCAGUGAGCAGAGACUGCACUGCUACACUCCGGCCUGGGCAACAGAACAAGACUCCAUCUCAAAAAAAUAAAAAGUAUCUUUUAGUCCAUCAUUAUCACUUUUGAAUUAACAAUUUGUCAGUAAGUUAUGAUUAGCUUUUCUUUUUUUAAAAAAAACUAUUAUUAAUUGUAAAAAGCAAAACAAGACAAAACAAAGUCAUAUUUCUUUCUGCCAAACUAAAUCUGUAUAUUAGCUCUAACACUUACAGAUUUUGGAAGAUUUCUUGUAUUCUCUGAUUGCUCAUCUGGAAAAUGGGUCUAUGUAUAUCUUAUACAUUGGAGUAUUAUGUUUGAAAUAAUGUUUGAAAAUUGUUUAUCCAACCACCAUCUAUACCUAGUGAUUUGGAAGCCUUUUAUGACUUAUCACCUAAUAGAUAGAGACUGCCCAGUAAAGAGGAAUCACGUUUGAUGUGCAAAUAUAUGAAUGGUGGCAUUACAUUACAUUACAUAAACACUUAAAUUGAUUCAAUGCUCUUAGAUAAAGAGAGCAGGCUACAAUGGGAAUAAGAUGGAAGGCAAGAGAAAGAACAAGGGAGAAAGAAAGGAAAAUAACAAUUUAAACAGUCUGGCUAAUAUAAUGAAACAUUUCCCUUGAUGCACGGAUGUCCCCAGGUUACCCAUCAUGACAGCAGGCAUGACUCUGUGAGUCCUCUGUCACACUCAGUUACUGCCUUACUCUCACAGGUGACUAGAUAACAGGGCCAAAUGGGAUUCUACUUUUAAAGAUGGAUAUUUCUUGGUAAUGUGGGCCAUAAAUGCAAGCCAGUAUGAAAUAAGGUGCUUAUAUACAUAAUACACCAAAAAAGAUCUGCCCAUUCCUGAAGAAAAAAAAAAAAAAAAACGUUAACAAAGCAAAACAACAACCAUAAAAACACUGCUUUGAGAGGUUGCAUGUAGAGUUCCAACAUUGCUACUUCUGAGGAAUUAUGAAGUUUCAUAAUGAAUAUGUUUCUUGUAUAAAUCAUGCAUAACACAUCAACAGUGUGUGUUUAUGUGACUACUAUAGGAAAAGUAUCGCAAUGGACCCCAUAUGAAAAGGGUCCUCAAGUGUUGAAUCACAUAGGAGAAAUUAAAACAUGAUACUGAUAUUGAUUCACCAAGAGCUUUCUAUUUAUUGUUUCCAUAUUUUAGUAUCUCUGUGAGUUAAAUUUAUAGUUUGGGAGCCCAUGCAUGAAAUCACGUAGAAGCAAUAUGAACCUAAUACCUAGGGAGCAGUUUUAUCUUGCUCUUAGUGAAAAUAAAGAAGGAGAACCACUUCUCUUUUGUGAACGUCCUGAGAGCUCUUUGAACACAGUAAAUCAUUUAGACAUGAAGUAGGGAAGCAGAGCUGCUUCCUCUUGCUUCAUCAAACAGUGAGGUAAGGGGUCUGUCCAGGAAGAAGAUGGGGAUGCCUUGGGCUCCUCUGCCCACACAGUACCCUCUGUCCCAUGCUUCAGGUGCUCCAGUGCUUCUGCAACAAGUGGAGCCAGCAGAGGCAUAAGCAGAAAGACGCCUCACCUUUGCACAGUGUCUGAGCAGGAUUGGUCAUGGGCCAGGCCAUUGUAAUUUGAAGAAAGAGUGGGCACCGCAAGGGAAGAUGUGGCAAUGUAGACACCAAUUCUAAGAAGGUGCCUUUCCUAAUUUAAAACAGAGGGUUAUAAUAAUGUUGUGAGGACUUCAAUAUAUGUGAUUUCUUGUGCCCACUUAUCCCUUGAUCUACAGCAUUUAUUUGAAAUCAAAUAUAAUCAAUGCAAGACUGAAAUGCCACAAAAAAGGCCAAACUGCUAAGUGCUCUUAGAUACUACAAAGAAAUUGUUUAGAAAACCAUGCAGUGACAAAGUAUAGAUGCAGUACACACACACACACACACACACACACACACACACACACAUGCAGGAGGUCAAAGGUAAAGAGGUGUGAGAAAUCGGAUACACUGACUUGCUUGCAAAGUUACAAUCUUCUGUUUGAAGUAAUGAAAAACACCCCAUUUUAAUAAUUUUUUCCUGGAUAAUGUUCAUUACUGUGUGAUGUGACAUAAUAUUUUUCUGGAUUGGGAUUAGCCAUAGAAUUCUGCAGCUCUCCUUUAGGGAACUGGGGAUAUGCUAAGAUCAUAUCCAGACUAAAAUACAGCGUUCCUCACAGAGAAGGUCCCACACAGCCUUAUGAUGAUUACAGGAAUAGCUUAAUGACACGGUCAUCACUCAGCCUCUCAUAAAACUAAUUAAUCUUCCAGCAAUGUUAGAAUCAAAGAGAAAUAUUUUUAAAUAUUAAAACAUAUUUUAUUAAACCACAGUCAUAUUAUCUUUCAUAUUUGAUAUACAAAAUAGAUAUGGACUUAUAGUUUUCAUUUAUCCUUUGAUUUAAUAAAGUAUUCAUAUUAGAAAUCUUCAUUGUAAUAAGAAAGGUCACUUUUGCUAAUUGGAUUAAGUCAGUAUAAUAGCUGAAAAAAAAAACAACUUUUCUGUGCCAAUAAGAUUAAUGAAAUUGCCCUUGAAAAGGUGCAUUUUACAUCUGAUUUCAUAUUUCAGUGAAGUCUCCCUCUGAAAUUGGCCUCAGGGUCCAGACCACAGGACAAUGCUAUAAUUAUGCCUUUCUGGUGCUUUCAAUAAUACCAUUUUUUGAAUUGACUUUGAGGUGAAUCUGCUUUAUACUAAAUUCAGCCCCAGAAGAACUUUGUUCUAUUGAAACUUGAACACACUUUUAUUUCAUCUGUGUUGGAAGUCUUUUUCCCUUUUUUUUUUUUCCUUAAGUGUAAGUGUUAAAGAAUAAGAGACAAUGAAGGGUGGAAAUGAUACGAUUAAGAGCUUUGGGGAGAAACUCUAAAGUCAUGACCAUAUUUUUCUGCUAAUCAAAAGACUGCCCAGUAUGGAGAAUUCAAGUUUCAUUACUGCUUAAUAUCUUCACAAAUCCCAAAUCAAUAUUACUUAUGUUUUAGAAGAUGCCAUCACAAUGAAUUAAAUUUGUUUCUUUAUUAUUUACUUCUAAUACUUUCACAGAACAUACUAUUUAUAAACCUAAGAAAGAGCAAGUUUAGAGACAGCUUGAUUGCAAAUUAUUGCUCAUUGGAGUGGGUAGAUACGGUCUCAGCUGCUUGUCAUCUAUUUGUAAUAUGAACAAGAAGUGUAAAACAGUUUUGAUAAAAAAUAUCUAUGGCAUGAAAUUUCUGCUGCUGAAAAGUCUUCAGUCAUGCACAAAUUCUAGACUAUUUUCACACGGAAACCAGCAAAGCACACACAACGGAACAACUGUAAUGAGAUGAUCAGCAAACCAAAUAUUCCUUUUCCUUUUCUUUUGUUACCUGUAAACUAAAUAUUGGAUGUGUUUUAGAAGAUUAAGAUAAAUUUACAUCUUGAUGUGAAUGUGCUUUAUUACACAAUGAUGUAUUUUCAAAUUAGAACUAUUUUUUGUAACCAGAAUCAUUUAUUCUAACACACUAUCAUGUCUUCAACUAAUAACAGCUUCUUUAGGCUUUGGGAGUAGAUGCACAUAGCUAUUGAUAAGUUUCCUCUUGUUAACAUAAAAGUUUCAGAGCUCUUUUAGUAUUUAUAUGAAAACUCAUUUAUCUCAGCCCCAGCAGUAGCUUUCAAAAUAAACUACUGCAUUUUGCAUCAGGGAAAUUCCCAAAGAUUAUAUAGGCCAUGUGAGAUAACAACUAGAAACAAACCAAUGUGUUGCCUACAUUUCCAAGACCUUUCACUAGUAGACUUAGCAUGGAUAAAGAACGUAUUCUUCAGUUAACAGUACAAGAUGAUCUAUUCUCACUAUGCCAUAUUUGUAUAGUUUAGUGCUCAUUUUGCCAAUAUAAGAUUUUCUUCAAGAAGGUUAAUAAUAUUAGAUACAAGCAAUCAUAUGACACCAUUGCCUUAAUUUUUAAACCAAUAAAAUAAAUUUAAUUCAUUAAUGCUUAUUAAUUAUGUAAUUAAGUUUAGUAAUGAAUAAAUAAAUCACAAGAUCUGGAGUUUAAAAGUAGUUAUAAUAGGCUGGGUGCAGUGGCUCAUGCCUAUAAUCUCAGCACUUUGGGAGGCCAAGGUGUGUGGAUCACCUGAGGUCAGGAGUUCAAGACCAGCCUGGCCAACAUGGUGAAACCCCACCUCUAUUAAAAAUAUAUUUAAAAAAAAAUUUGCCGAGUGAGGUGGUAGGUUCCUGUAAUCCCAGUUACUUGGGAGGCUGAGGCAGCAGAAUUGCUUGAUUCCGGGAGGCGGAGGUUGCAGUGAGUCAAGAUAGUGCCACUGGACUCCAGCCUGGAUGACAGAGCAAGACUCAGUCUCAAAAUAAUAAUAAUAAUAAUAAUAAUGAUAAUAAUAAUAAUAAAGUAGUUACAAUACAACACAUUUAUUUAUAAAAGUGUUAAAUUGUACAAUCCUCAAUUCAGAUUGCUUCCACCACCAUGGACACCACUGUCUCUAUUAUCCGAAUUCUCCUUGUUGUCAUUGUCAUCCUCAUCAUCAGUGAUCAAUCACAAACUGCAUUCGGGUAAAUCUAAUCUGUUCAUAAUUUUAAAUUUUAAGUUAUUUUAUUUUGCUUCCUUUUCUUGAAAAAAAAAUGAAGUGUUAUUGUUAGCAUUUGGAUAUAAUGAUGCACCAUUUUGUAAAACAUUUCCCAGAAACACUUUCCUUAGUUAAAAUCCAAUCUUUCUAUUGGUUCCCCACUCAUUGGUAUUCUUCCUUUCUCUAUUCAAAAGAAGCAUUGAAUUUAAAGUGGUGAUUGUAUUUUGGAACUGGUUUGACAUGAAAAUCUGUCAAAAUACCAUAGUGAUGAUUCAUAUUAUGUUGCCAUUAUAAAUAUCUCUAUUGUAUUAGCGUGCUUUAAUAUCCUCAUCACUUCACUCUUUAGCCCUCUUUAUAAUUCAUAGUUUAAAUGCUUAGCAUUUCAAAUUAAAUUUUCUUUUCUGUUUUCACUAUCUAUUUUAUGUGGAAAACAGUUAUAUUUUCAUUACUUUUUAAAGUAUAUUCUAGCUUUAAACACGAUGUCCAUACUUCAAACCCAGCUUCUAAAAUGUAUACCUAUUAGUUAUUCAAUCUGUUCGAAUAUAGCUAAAUAACACAGUUGUUUUUCACCCAUAACACUCAGGAAGCUGGAAACUAUGGGUGCCCAAAUAGAUCACUAGAUUUCCAAGGCUUAGUUCAUAUGUGGUCUCUAUUCCCAGAACUCUAUGUUCUUAACCUGCGGUGAAAAUAUGUUUGCUCUACCUUAAUCUCCAUUUUGCAACUCACACCAUGUGGCAGCUUCUGAUGAUAUCGGGAUGGUAAAGUCCAAGGGGAAUAUCACAUUCAGGCAGAUCUCACCACUCACUUCCCUUUGUCAUUUUAAAGUACGGUGUCAAACCCUUCCUGUUGUAUAACACUCAAAUUUGUGUCAGAAAUAGUAAAAGUAAACCUUCCAUUACACUAAAGUUCUUUUAGUUCUAAGUGUCAGAAAGAGAAUUUUAGGGAGAAUGAUUAUCACCUUAUUUCUACCACUGCAUGCAAGGUGUGCACCUAUCGCUUUAUGCUCUUAGCCAUUAGCGGGUUCCAGUCGCUGAAAUUCAGUUAUAGUUCUGCACAUUCACCUCAUGGUGCUGUCUGCUAAUCUGAAGAUCCCCAAUGGGAAAACCAGUCUUGCUAAGAGAUGUGGUUUAUGAGAAAUGAGGCCUAAUGAUCAUCUACACACAAAUUGAUUUGAGGAGUGGUUGCUUUUUCAUUUUUUAGAAAAACGUUAACACCUCUGUUUUCAUCACUGAGUGACUUAACUUUACAUAGUUCAAGUUGCUCCUACCCACAGAGUCUCCACUAGACCCACUUGGCCACAGUUAUUUUUGGCUUCGCCAUACGCCCUCUGAUCUGCAAGCCUUCCAAAUCCUGUUGGAAGCCUUUGCCUCUCUCUUUUGUUUUUUAACAGUGUCUGCCAAACUUUAUUCUUACUUCCAGAUAUCUCACACCUGGAUGUCUGUAGAAACUUCCCAUUAACUACAUCUUCAAAUACAAUCAAAUGUCUGGGAAUUUCUUCAGAAAAAUAUGGGGGUGGGAGGUGGGUAGGGAUUGGCCAUGAUUUGAUAGUUAUUGAAGUUGGCUGAACACUACAUAGGUUUUUUCCGACUUUUGUCACUUCUUUUAAAUAUCUGCAUUUUUAAUUAAAAAGUUAAAAAGGGAUUAUCAGAGCUUAAUAUAACUUUUAGUUAUAGCAUACAUAUGCAUAUUCAUAAAAAGUCAACGACUACUCUUGUCCAUUUUAUGGAUUUUAUUUUUUUAUCAUCAGCUAAAAAUAUUUAGAAGUGGGAAAAUAAAGUAAAAUAAGUAACUGUGUGGAGCUAGGUUGGUAUGUUUAAAAGCCCAGCUUAGUGACUUACUGGCUAUUGGGUUAUGUACAAGUUACUUUAGUUAUUCUUGUCUCAUUUUCUUCAUAUGAAAACUUGGGGAGAGUAACAGUAUAUAUCUUACAGAGGAUUAGAAGGCUUAACACAUAUAACAAAUGUAGUCAUGUUCUGUUACACUGCAAACACUCAUUGCAGGUUGAUCACCACCACGGUUAAUUCCUCUGCAUAAAUUUUGUGGCAACUGAUAAAUCACUCCCAUUUAAAGUCAAUGCCUGUAGACUUUUCCAUGUGUUUUAUUAAUGGAGAUACAAAUAAGUCACAACAAAUUCUAAUGUAUUAAUGGGGUAUUUUUAAUUUUUCUUUAUUCUGUGUUAUUUAGAAAUGGAAUACUGAUAAUCUGUAGAAAAAGUAAAUCUAUGUGAAUUACUAUAAAAUCUGAAUAUCAUUUUACAGUAUUUUCGUAGCAUUCUCAGACUGAAUUCUCUAAGGGCUAGUUUGGUUCAACUGGACUUUUUACUAUAAAGCUGAGUUCUACCCUUCAGUUGUAACCAAGAAAUUUCUUCUUUAUGAUCCCAAAUGCCUGGCUCAGCCACAGCCACUCCUUCCACUCUUUGCUCUUCCUCUCAUGUUCUGCUCCCCAUUUCAGCCUUUUCAGGUUAAAGAGCAACUGCUGAGGCCCACGAUGGUCGGGGCUCUUGGAGUCCUUUAUGAGCUUGACAAGAUCCUAACUGAGGGAGCUUUUUUUUUUUUUUUGAGACGGAGUCUUGCUCUGUCACCCAGGCUGGAGGGCAGUGGCGCGAUCUCGGCUCACUGCAACCUCUGCCUCCUGGGUUCACGCCAUUCUCCUGCCUCAGCCUCCAGAGUAGCUGGGACUACAGGCGCCCGCCACCACGCCCGGCUAAUUUUUUGUAUUUUUAGUAGAGACGGGGUUUCACCAUGUUAGCCAGGAUGGUCUCCAUCCCCUGACCUCGUGAUCCCCCCGCCUCAGCCUCCCAAAGUGCUGGGAUUACAGGCGUGAGCCACCGCGGCGGGCCCAAAAACAAUUUUUAACCUUGGAGGGUCCCAGUGGUGCUGUGCUUUGCAUGGAAAUGAGAAGAAUGAUCGUCUCCAGAAUUCUGUGAAUCCCUGUGUUAUCUAUUCCUUUAAAUAACACUGUUUGUCUCAGAGUUCCAUAAAUAAUCUCAAGUAAACAUUUUCAUCAGACAUUGAGGGUGAUCAUCUCUCCAUCAGGGCUCAAUAUCAAUCUGAACUGGAUUUAAUUGAUAAACCAGACCACUCAGCUCCUAUUUGCAGUUUUAUUUUCUCUCAUCUUGAGAAUUCAUCACAAACAUUAUCUUCCAGGCAGUAGUCAAAAUUUCAAAUUCAUAUUACAUCAUGCACAUGGCUGCCUUAUGAAGCCAUUGUCCAUCAAUUCUGAUUUUAUCUACCUGUCUAUUCAGUGUGUAGGAAAAUUUCCAGUAAACUCCUAAGGGUAACUACUGAAAUUGGUAUACAGAGAGCAUAUUCCUGGUGCAAUUACAUGUUUUAAGCUUCCAUUUUUCCAUUGUAGCAUUUUUUUAGCACUUUUAACUCAGUAACGAUUAUGGAAUUUCCUCUCCACAUGCCUCUCUCUCAUUCUUGGAAAUGAAAGGAUUUCUCUAAGACUAGGUGUUCCCAAACACAAGAAAGUUCUAAAAGCUCUACUCACCCUUUCCUUUUAAUAAUACUAAUAAUACCUAUUAUAUCUCUUUAGUAGUUAGAACUAACACAAAUGUUUCCAAUUUAAUAGUAGUGAUUUAUCAAUGUUUGUGUUUCUAAAGAAUAAUCCACUGACUGACAGUAUUGAGAAGGUUGAGUAGAAGAAUGUUAUUGGUAGAAAAACAGGGGUAGGAGAGAUAAUUAUCCCACCUUUGUGUCCUUUUUAAAAUACAAAUAAUAUUUUAUUAUUAUAGUCGCCUGCCUCCUUUCAAAAUGCAGGUGGAAGUGAGAAUGGAAAAAUAAUUGCUAGAGAAAACAGACAAGACCUUCUGAUGCAUCUGUAAUACAUUAUGCCCAAAGGAAGGACACACAAUUGCAUAUUCCCCAAAUAUUUUAGCAGCUGCACUAAAAUGUUUCACAGCUAGGAGAAUAAACUUGGGCAACCAUUAAAUGAGUCUGCCUGACUUUAAAAUAAUUCAAAGUCCAGGAUUGCUUCAUGAUGGAGAAAUGAGGAAUUCAUGCCAAUGGUGUCUCUUUCAACCAUUUUCCAUCAAGAUGAUGUAAAACAGAUCUGCACUCCCUGUUUCCCUAUGUAGUUCUGCCAAAAUGAGGCAGCUGUGCCAUAGAUAUCAAGUCAGGUUUUCAGAGAUUGGUCCUGCACACUGGCAAUAGAAAUGGUGGGAAAGCUAUGGUGUUUGGAUUCUGAGCAACCAGCUGUGUGAUCUCAAGCAGGUCAGUAAACUUAUCUCAGCCCCAGUCAUUGUAAUCAGUGCAUAAGAGAAUGUAAAUAAAAAACCUGGAAUAACACAACAGGAAAUCGUGUUAUAUGUGGCAUCAGACCAACUUAGAUUGGUACCCAUUCUCCUCAUCACUGGCUUUAUCACCUAACCUUCUUAAUGUUGACAAAUGACCAAAGCUUUCUAAGCAAUAAUAUUCUUAUCUUUAAAGUGAUAAUAGUAUCUACUUAGUUGGGUUGCAAAGAUGAAAUGAGGGACAAGUGAAAGCGUCGAGAAAAGUAACAGGCAUGUACUAUCAUUUCUGUAUGCCUUUCUCACCUUAGAGGGACAGAUGUUAAUUUGACAGGGUAGUAGUCCCCUAUUCUUUUUAUAAGGAAUUGCCACAAACUUAGUGUUUUAAAAAACACAUACAAAUUUAUCUUACAUUUCUGGAGGUCAGAAAUGUGUAUCACUGGGCUAAAUCAAAACAAAACAAAAAGGUGUCAGCACCUUCUGGAGCCUUUGGGGGCUUGAAUCAAUUUCUGCCACUUCCAGCUUCAAAGGUUCCUCCGUAUGGUUCCCUUCAUGGUCUCCUUGCUCCAUCUUCAAAGCCAGCAACAUCUGGCCAAGACUUAUUCAUGCUGUGCUCUCUUUGACUCCCCUUCUGCCUUCCUUUUCCACCUAUAAGGGCACUUGUCAUUAGGUUGGCUGCCCUGGGAUAAUCAGGGAUAACCUUCUCAUCUCAAGGUCAACUAAUUAGCAACCUUAAUUUUAUCUGCAAUCUUAAUUCUCCUUUGUCGUAACUUGGCAUUUUUAUGUGUUUAGGGGAAAGUAUUGGACACUAUGAUGAGUCCAUUAUUCUGUGGACCACAUACUAGAAAAAAAAACAUGAAAAGUUUAAAUAGAAGAUGACUUUUGAGUUUCCUUGUGUAGGAUCAUUUUACAAGGUCGAAGAGGAAGGAAUGUGUAAGCCAACUACAAGAAAAUGUGUGUUGAAGGCAUGGUGACAUGAGAAGCAUCACAAUAUGCUCAGGGAGUGGCCGAGGUGUGAUUUAAUUAGACAGAUUGCACAAUCACUGCAUCCACUGGAAAGGAUGCUGUUGACAGAUGGAGAAUGGACCUUAUAGGACAGUCUCAAAGUUUUCAUGCAGGGAAACGAGAUAAUUAAAUGUGAGUUAACGGAGAGAAAAGUGGAUUCUUAGCAACAAUGUCAGGAAUGAAAGCAGCUGAAGCAGCUGGAGGUGAUUGGAACAGGUUUACACAUUUGGACUUGAUUACAAUAGACCAAGAAGAACAGAAUAAUAGUAUAAGAAUAGGAAAUGCAUAUGGAUUGAAGAGAGGGAAUGGACAAGAUAUCUGAAUUUUAUUGGAAGCAAGACGUGGAGUAGAGGGAGAAACCUAGGACACAAUUGAUUUUUUUUUUUUAGUUACAACAUCCCACAAAAUGUAUGAGAUCAACAGGAAUAGAGAAGGAGGAACACCUUCAGAAAGUAGGAAUAAAGAAAGUUUUAAAACGCAACAUGUGGAACUUGAAAAUGUCUGAAUCCAGGGUGAUAUAUUAUUAAUACUAUAAUAUGUAGGUAUAAUUUUGGAAAUUUAUUCUUAAUCAUUUUAUUCAGGGUAUCCUGCCUCAUUCUUUUACCCAAAUUAAAUCCAUCCUUUAUGAUGCCACCAGAAGGAUUUGACACCCAAAUCUGAUCAGUGCUUCCUCCACUUAAAUCAUUUUAAUGGUUUUUCAGGAUUCAUAUGAUUAACUCCAAGCUUUUUAACCUGACAUAAAAGCUACUUCUUUUUUUCAGCAUCAUACUGUACCCCAGCCCCCACCACAAUAAACCAAAAAAAGUUGAUUCCUGUCAAUUAAGAAAUGGAUGCGUUUAGAAGCAUGGAUUUGUAUACUUAAAAUCCACAUCUCUAGACUUCUUCGUGAUACUGGAUUCUAUUGAUAAAAUAAAAAAUUUAAACUAAAAGAUUGUACCAUUGUGUUUCUUCAGCAAACACUUUGAUGUGACUCUGAUUUCAAGUCUUCUCACCCCUCUAAAGGAUCCAGAAUGAAUGAGUUAUUUAACAUAAAUUGCCAGAUGUACUUUCAUAAUGUGAAGGUGUGAGAUGGGGGUACCACCUGAUUCUGCUUAGUCCACAAUGAGAUGUAAUAUGCUUAUGCUGAAAGCUGAGCUUUCAACUGGGUAUCCUUGAUAUACAGCAACCUUGAAAAACCACAAAACUAUCUUCUCAAAGUCUUUAAGCAUGCAUUAUUCAGGCUACUUUGCUUUGGUUUUAAAGAAAAGAUAUGACGUUUGAUGAACCUGAAAAAAAAGAAUCCCUAGAAACGAUUUUUCUCCUUUUUUAUAUUUUAAUUUUUUGAUAAAACAUUGCUUAUGGCCUAAAGACCUUGUAAUGCAUUUCCCUCUUACAGUAAGAAGAGAGGAAAAGAGAGAGAGAAAUUGAAGAACUUCACCCUGAUAAGAUCUCACCACCAGGCAGGGCAGAAGUACAACAAUAUCUGAUAUGUAAUCUUAUCUUUCUUGACAGUUAUAUGCAGUUAAGAGUUGGCAGUACAUAGAGAUAUUGAGCCAGUUUGAUUAAAUAUUUUUAAAAUAUUAGAAAAAGGAUAUUUAAACCCUUUUCUUCUCUAAUGUUACUUUAGUAAUAUACUUUAGUUUUAGACUUAGCAAAUGUAUUUGGAAGACUAAAAUAGUACAGGCUAAAAGCACUGACACAAAGUGGUUUGUUAAUCAUCGAACUCAUGUUAAUGCAAGUGGUUAGGGAAUAGCUAAUUAGCUAAUUUCUAUGCAUUUCAAAAUGCAUAGGUGCACUAUUCAUUGAUAAAUUAAUUCUUCAGAAUAGAUUUCCUGGCUUAUAUCUUGAUUUGUAUUUAACAUAUUCUUUAAUUGAUCAUUUAAUAUUUAAUAACCAUAUACAGUAAUGCAAAAUUAUAAUAAAAUUAUAAUUUGCGGUUAUCAGGAGAAUAUGUUUGCAUCUUGUGUUUGAAUUGCUUUAAAAUACUGUACCUAUAAUAAACUUGUAAAACAUAAUUAUAUAAAAUAUACUAUAUGAAAUACACCUAAGGGCAUAUGGAAAUAAAAUAUUUUCUUUAUUAUUCUACCAAAGCUUAAAACCUGGGCUACUAAAAUAAUACUAAUUUUGAGACUCCAGUAUCUAAUAGAUUUUAAAAGUAUUAAUAACAUGCUUGUUAUUUUCUUUUCAUCACAUUAAUUUAUCUUCAGCCUUCAUCCACUUGAAAAGUGGUGAAAUCUUCGAAAAGUAGGCGGUAUAUAUGCACAAUAUUUAUUAAUUAAAGAGGAUGCAGAUAUCUUGUACAGAAAACAACUAUAUUGUGAAGUGCCCACAUUUGAUCAAAGAUUUAGUUACUAAGAGACAGCAGCAGAUAGUGAAGGAACUUUCAUAAUUCAAAUGUAGAGAACAAAUAUGUUAUUAUUGUAUUAGUUUAUAGGGCUGCCAUGACAGGGUGCAACAAAUUGGUGGCUUAAACAACAGAAAUUUAUUGUCUCAUAGUUCUGGAGACCAGAAGUUCAAGGUCCGGGCUUCUGCAGGGCUGGUUCCUUCCUUGGACCUGAAGGAAAAUCUCUUCCAUGUCUCUCUCCUGACUUCUGGGGGUCACUGGGCAUCUUUGGUGUUUGUGGCUUGAAGACGCAUCACUUAAAUCUCUGCCUUGAUCUCCUCAUGGCAUUCUUUCUGCCUGUCUAAAUUUCUCCUUUUAUAAGGACGUGGGUUCUAUUGGAUUAGGGCCACUCUAGUGACCUCAUAUUAUCUGAUUAUGAGCAAAAAACCUAGUUCCAAAUAAGAUCCCAUCAGAGGUACUGGGGGUUACGAUACUAACAUCUUUUGUGGAACCACAAUUUAACCCAUAAUAAUGAUCUUAAAUUUUUUAGAUAAUUACAUGAAAACAUGCUUUGUGUGUGUGUGUGAAAAUGUUGCUAUUCCUGGGGCAUAAAAUAAUGGCUUUAUUAUGCAGUUCUUGUUUUCUUUGGAAAACGUUCUCCAUUCCUUUGAGUAAAACUGAAGUUGUUCUUGUUUUAUAAACUCCACCCCGACACUCCACAUCAAGCUCCAGUUAGAGUUUGGAUAUUAAAGUAAUUAACUUUACCUCUAGGACAUCAUAAUUUCUUGAGGGAUUUUUUUUAACUAAAGCUUAAUAAAUCUGUCAUAAACAAAACAAAAGUAAAAUAUUACAGUGCUCAGAAAAUAAAAUGUCAUCAAAAUUACAAUUUGCCAAUUACAUUAGAAAAUAUACAUUACAAAAUGUCAAAAAUAAGAAUGGGAAGUUGUCAUAAGAUGUUCUUAUAAAUAAAUUGGAGGUGAUAUUAUAUGUUAGACAACAGCACCAGGAAAACUCAAUAAGCUGCCUCAAAACAAAUGUCUCUGCUUAUUUAGAAAUUCCUGGGGUAGGCCGGGUGUGGUGAUGCAUGGCUGUAAUCCCAGUACUUUGGGAGGCCAA
This is a long non-coding RNA of Homo sapiens (human), 20159 nucleotides long. RefSeq lists it as uncharacterized. The transcript is spliced from 4 exons. The record is from RefSeq and is a predicted model, not a curated record. NCBI's taxonomy places the organism in Eukaryota, Metazoa, Chordata, Mammalia, Primates, Hominidae.